UUGGAGGGCAAGUCUGGUGCCAGCAGCCGCGGUAAUUCCAGCUCCAAUAGCGUAUAUUAAAGUUGUUGCAGUUAAAAAGCUCGUAGUUGAAUUUCGGGAUCAGCAGGUUGGUCGUGCCUCUGGUAUGCACUGGUUUCGCUGAUUCCUCCUUUCUGAAGAACUGUAAUGUCAUUAAUUUGGUGUUGCAGGGAAACAGGACUGUUACUUUGAAAAAAUUAGAGUGUUUAAAGCAGGCUAACGCUUGAAUACAUUAGCAUGGAAUAAUGAAAUAGGACGUUUGAUCCUAUUUUGUUGGUUUCUAGGAUUGACGUAAUGAUUAAUAGGGAUAGUUGGGGGCAUUAGUAUUCAAUUGUCAGAGGUGAAAUUCUUGGAUUUAUUGAAGACUAACUACUGCGAAAGCAUUUGCCAAGGAUGUUUUCAUUAAUCAAGAACGAAAGUUAGGGGAUCGAAGACGAUCAGAUACCGUCGUAGUCUUAACCAUAAACUAUGCCGACUAGGGAUCGGAUGAUGUUAAUUUUUUAAUGACUCAUUCGGCGCCUUACGGGAAAC
RNAcentral lists this ribosomal RNA (549 nucleotides) under uncultured Glomeromycotina. Its description in RNAcentral is "SSU rRNA". It matches the Rfam family "Eukaryotic small subunit ribosomal RNA", at positions 548 to 1098 of the family's 1831-position model. Lineage: Eukaryota; Fungi; Glomeromycota. The record is from RNAcentral.